This 426-nucleotide ribosomal RNA is filed under the name uncultured bacterium. RNAcentral describes it as "bacterial SSU rRNA". It matches the Rfam family "Bacterial small subunit ribosomal RNA", at positions 954 to 1378 of the family's 1533-position model. The record is from RNAcentral.
GCAUAACGCGAAGAACCUUACCUGGUCUUGACAUAGUAAGAACUUUCCAGAGAUGGAUUGGUGCCUUCGGGAACUUACAUACAGGUGCUGCAUGGCUGUCGUCAGCUCGUGUCGUGAGAUGUUGGGUUAAGUCCCGUAACGAGCGCGAACCCCUGUAUUUAGUUGCCAAUAUUAAGUUAGGAACUCUAAAUAGACUGCCGUAGAUAAUACGGAGGAAGGUGGGGAUGACGUCAAAUCAUCAUGCCUCUUACGUCUUAGGGCUAACACACGCGCUACAAUGGACGGUACAAAGAGACGCGAUAUAGUAAUAUGGAGCAAAACUCAAAAAACCGUUCUCAGUUCAGACUGUGGGCUGCAACCCGCCACACGAAGAUGGAGUUGCUAGUAAUCCCGAAUCAGCACGUCGGGGUGAAUGCGUUCCCGGGU